This 65-nucleotide transfer RNA is filed under the name Eucorydia linglong. Its description in RNAcentral is "tRNA-Arg". Lineage: Eukaryota; Metazoa; Arthropoda; Insecta; Blattodea; Corydiidae. The record is from RNAcentral.
AAGUAUGAAGCAAACUCUUGCAAUUAGUUUCGACCUAAUUAUAGAUAUUAAGUUAUCCUUACUUA